CAUGUUUAUUUGAAGAUAUAAAUAAUUUGACCUGCCCCCUGAUUAUUAAUUUAAGGGCCGCAGUAUUAUAACUGUGCAAAGGUAGCAUAAUCAUUAGGUUUUUAAUUGAAAUCUUGUAUGAAUGGUCGGACAAAAGAAAAACUCUCUUUAUAUUAAUUUUGAAUUUAACUUUUAAGUGAAAAGGCUUAAAUAAGCUAAAGGGACGAUAAGACCCUAUAAAACUUUACAUUGUAAUUAUAUUUUGAUAAAUUUAGUGAAUAAAAAUAUAAUUUAAUUAUUUGUUAGGCUGGGGAGGCACAGAUAAAUAUAAUUUUAACUGUUUGGUAAUUAUACAAUUAUUAAUGGGUAAUUAAUUAGAUCCUUUAUAAAGAUUAUUAAAUUAAGUUACUUUAGGGAUAACAGCGUAAUUUCUUUUGAGAGUUCUUAUCGAAAAAGAAGAUUGCGACCUCGAUGUUGAAUUAAAAUAUUCUAUAUAAUGAAGAGGUUAUAUAAGAAGGUCUGUUCGACCUUUAAAAUUUUACAUGAUUUGAGUUCAAACCGGUGUGAGCCAGGUU
RNAcentral lists this ribosomal RNA (554 nucleotides) under Qianguimon rongxianense. RNAcentral's name for it is "Qianguimon sp. 1 JZ-2019 partial large subunit ribosomal RNA". It matches the Rfam family "Archaeal large subunit ribosomal RNA", at positions 1906 to 2701 of the family's 2987-position model. The record is from RNAcentral. Lineage: Eukaryota; Metazoa; Arthropoda; Malacostraca; Decapoda; Potamidae.